GACUGGAGGAGAGGAUGCCUGUGAGACAAGGUGUAAGAUCACAUGAGGUGAUAUAGCCAAAUCAUAUAAAAAACUCCAGGGUCUUUGGGCAAUUCACUCCACUGGCUCUUUUCUUUCCUUGGCUAUAAGGAAAAAGGGUUUGCUGAGAGGAGGAGAAGGUGACUGUGUAUAAGGGACAGCCCACAAGGAUGCUGUGAGAGACUCUGCUGGAGGCUCCACUCCGUUGUGGCACAUGGAAGUUUCCAUGGGAAGUACCCAUCUCGCCCCACCCACUUGGUUUCACACUGUAUACAGUGCUGAAGACAGUGCUGGCAUUUCAGCGUGAACACUAAGCGGUGACUCAGAGCCAACAGAAGUGUGGACCGCUGUUUACUCAAAAGGAAGCCUUUGGUGUGACAAAUUAGAGUGGGCUGCUACAUUGUGCAGGACUUAUGAGCCAAACAGCUUGGAAAUAGCACAUACCACUGCGGCAGGUGUCAAAGGGCUUCCCCUCAGAAGGACCAGAAGUCCAUCUUGCAUCUGGAACUGGUUAGGAAGGAGGCUGGCAUGUCACCAAACCCAUCAUCCUAUCUACCAAGAGCUCACAAAAGGAAGGAACUGGAAGGAGAAGGCUCAACAAUAAUACAAGCUGAAUGGCCUCAAAGAAAGAACACUGGAAGGCAGGCAGUAAAGAAGUGGAAACUAGGAUUUUCU
Molecule: long non-coding RNA, 693 nt
Organism: Mus pahari (shrew mouse)
Lineage: Eukaryota; Metazoa; Chordata; Mammalia; Rodentia; Muridae
Exons: 3
Source: RefSeq, a predicted model, not a curated record